Molecule: long non-coding RNA, 4975 nt
Filed under: Sus scrofa (pig)
Lineage: Eukaryota; Metazoa; Chordata; Mammalia; Artiodactyla; Suidae
Description: lncRNA (ENSSSCG00000054913.1, ENSSSCG00130028753.1)
Source: RNAcentral
AUUAGACUGAGCUGAAGAAAGAAGUUAAAUGCUCUGAAUAUAUGACCUUUCCUCCAAAUCUGGAACUUUAAAUAUGAUGCUAAUAAGGCAGGCACAGAGUAAAUCAGUGAACCAGAGCUUUAAAUUAAAAUAAAAAUUCUACUGCUACUACAAUUUCAAAAAUGGAAUUACAAAUGCUAUAUCCUCCUAGGAACAUAAGGCACUGCUGCAGAAGUAGUCUUGAGUCGGAAAUGAGAGUUAAACCCUCAUUUUCAAGAACCUUAUCUGGGUCAAGUUUUUAAAGUAGUAAGAGUGUAUACUGUUUUCCAAACUCUGAUGUCUUAGUUCAUGUUGCAACUGCAGGGCAUAUUAUUUACUAUGAGUUGGCAGGAUUACUGCUGGUAUACAUGUGGUAUUUCUUUAUUCUAUUUGUUUUUAAAUAUUUAUAUAAAUUUCCUAGCUGAUGCUAAAAAAAUAUUUUCUCAUGAACUUUUUUUUUAAACUCAUUUUUGCAGAAUUCUCUAAAAGGAAAGAAAAUAAAACAGCUUGUUUAAUGCUGUGCUUUAAACUACCCACUCACCAGGAGCUAGCCUGCCUCAUAUGGCUAGUUUGUAGGUUGCUGUACUUAUGUUUAUAGAGGACAAGCAUUAAAUGGGAACAAUUACAGGGACAAAAAAUAAGCAAGGAGAUAAUAUGCAGGGAGAACAUUCUACUAAAACCUUGCCUAUUUCAUAGUUAUGUGAAGCUUUUCUUCUUUUCAUGUAAGCUCCUUUCUUUCUCUUUCUCUCUUUCUCUCUCUCUCUCUUUUUUUUCUUUUUGAUGUUUCAUUCUGUAGAUAAUGUGGAAGCAGAGAUUUCAGGUUAUCUCUUGCAUUUUUUUUUUAAUUAGGCCAGAAGUUGCCAUGAAAAGCUCUCCUCUGCUUCCCCUUUCUAGUGGUUUUACCUACUGGAAACCUUCUUGGAACUUCUUUUAUUUUAUUGAUAUAUUUUAUUGUCAUGGCCAAUUCAAAGAAAUUAUAUCUACUUUGAGUUUUCUAUGGUUAGUUAAUGAAGAACCUGACCUUAAAUUCUGAGGGCUCUGGUCAGUCUUUUUUUUCUGUUUAAGAUUUAGUUAUAGAUGCUCUGCUUCUAGCUGGUAAAGGUAGAAUAUAUAAUUUCUACAUAAAGUCUGAAGAACAACAGUAUUUUUGAAGACCGCAAUGCAUACUUAUAUUUUCCUUGCAUGUAAAUAUUUAUACUACUCAAUUUUUUAAAAAUGAUGAAUGAUUGAGAACUUGGCAACAGGCACACUGCAAACCAAGUUCAGCUUAGCAGGCUGGAGAUGCACAGCGACGAUCGGCUAAAUGAUUCAAUCUGGUGUAAAUAAUGCCACUGAAAUGUUUUAGAGGAGUGUCAACUCUGUGCAACUUUCUGUAAAGCAUGGAGCAUCCUCUUGAAAUACCUAAGUUGCAGGAAAAUGUAAAGGAACAUUUUUUUCUUUACAAUAGAGAUUUCACAUAUUCAAAUACCCCUGCCUAUUUGUUUUCUUCCACUUCUGCCUGUUCCAAAAACAAUUAUAGUCUCAAAAAGAAAGCACAGUCUCUUAAUUAGUAUCAUUCUACAGCUGCUCCUUAAUAAAUCAACAUGAUAAAUACGUGUCUCAUCCACAUUCUAGGCUAUUUCUAAUCUAAAUGAGUCUAGACUCAGGCACCUGAUGCACUACAUAAGAACUGGAGGGCAAAUUAAUACCAUGAUGGAAGAGUAAAAUGUACUUCACUAUUUAUUAUUUAUGUUUGCUCAUUUCCUACACAAACACUUUUAAGUGCAAUAGAUAAGCAGGUUCAUAGACUCAGCAGCAGAAAUACGUCCUGAUUUCAAAUGUAGGUGGAAGCCCAGGAGCCUGGGUGAUUAGCCAAGAAGUCAAAUUUAGAUGUUUAGAACCAUUGAGCUUUUCCUAUAAAGAAACGAACUUCUGCAUUUAAAACGCAAGGGAGGAAACUAUGGCCAAACCACCAGACAGAACGCAGGCCUGAGUUAUAAUAAUUCAUAAAGACACACUUCAUGUCGGGAAGAUGCGUCAGUUCUUCACGUUUCUUCACCCUUGUGUGCCAGAGUCAUUAAGAAAAAUAAAAGGCGUCUGUUUCUACCAUUGGCACAUAGAAGUUACCAUACAACGACGCGGGGAUAGAGAGGGAAACUAGGUCCUUAGCCUUAAGGAAACCUGGUGGAAUGUUCUCUAAUAGAAACACCAGGCACACAGAUGGCAACAGUACAGACUGGAGACUGCAGCAGAAAUAGUGGGAGAGAGUGACUCAGGCUGAUUGCCUGAAGAAGGAAGCUGGGGGAGCAAAAACUUGCCACUCUACCAUGUCUCUUUGGCAUGUGGAUUAUUUCCAGCUGGAAACAACCAUGGUGCCAGAGACUCAGUGGGAACCUCCGGCCUCCCCCCUAAAUGCCUAAAGAUGUAGAUGCACGACCUGUUCCAGGAAGGGGGCUGUCACCGUAGAUGACUACAAUAGGACUAGAUGUGUGGACAGGGAGAAACCUGCAAAGUCUUUGUUAAAAUUCCUCUCUGGGCCCCAGUAUCCUUUCCUGGCCCAGCAGACAUUUGUUACUAAGCAUUCACUUUACUAUCUUCAUGCCAAUUGCCUUUGAGGUCCCCACCCCUACCCCUACCCCCCACGAAAGCCUCUUCUGUCUUUGGCUGAAGACGGUAUUUAAGGUGAGAGUUCAGGCCAUUUCGGCCAGUUAUUCAGUUUCCCUCUGUCUCUCCCAUAUACACACGUCAUUAACUUUGGUUUGAGUUUCUUUUGCUAACCUGCCUUAGACCAGACAGAAGAAGCCAGGACAGAGGAAAAUGUCACCUUCCCCAACAAACCCCAGCAGGGGCCGCUGUGUAUGAGGAGGAUUUUUCAGGGCUGGGACAUGGGCUUCAGAGGGUGAGUGGUGAGCAGUCAGUUGGCCAGACUUUACAGGGCUGGGCUGAGCACUGACCUCCAUGGUGAAGCUGUCAGAGAGUCCACUAAAGGGCUCUGAAGCCAGUCUGCUGCCUGGUACCCGAGACUCUGAGUGGCAGUGGGUGACUCCUUAGUCAGCUCUGGGUGGUCACAGACUUUAGGCCAAAUCUGUCUCUGCCACAUUCCACUCUUGUUUUUCACACACCUCUCCCCUGGCUGGACAUCACCCCCUGGUGUUUUGGUCAACAGGGCACCCGAAGUCCUCCAAACCCCCUGACCAAGGCUUGCCCACAGCAGUCCCUGAAAACUGUAUUCAUCCAUGACCUCUCAUCCCAGAGUCAAAAAGAAAACAGCACCUUGGUUUAGGAACCAGUCUCCCAGACAGGACAGCCCUACAGCACUGACUCAACUUUAGCCAUAAGAGCAACAACCAUUUUGAUCAACGUUCCAAAGGCACUUACACUGAAAUAGUGGCUACUAUUUUUAAAGCAUCACAACAACAGCCAUGAUAGGGGUGUUUUUACAAAAAUUGUCCCCACAUCCUAGACCAGAAGUAAAGGUACAGAGAACUAGCCCAAAGUGGGGCCGAGGGAGCUGGAGUCUCUGAGGCUUUGGGCCCCUUUCUGAUCCUAACUGACCCCCAGGAGGGCUGGGCCAGUGCCCAGGCCUAGGAACCACUGAGAAUGCAUCCCCCCACCUCUGCCCAUCACCCUUUGGUCAGAGAUACUUUUUUAGGGGGUUAACAAGCUCUUUAAAUACAGAAAUUCUCUCACCUUACUUCCAGAGUAUUGUAUGUAUCUUAUAUCUUAUUCUGGGUUAUUUUACUCAUUUUUUUUUGAAUUCUGAAGAUUUUUAUACAGACAUAUUUAUGUACUUAUUUAGGUAUUAGCUUCUUUAAAUGUUAUUUGAUUACUCCUUUGAAUACUCAAAGACUAUCAAAUGCCAUUUAUUGAGUAAUUAUAAUUUACUAUCUUUAAUAGGCUUUACUUGUUUAGUAAAAGUGUUUAUAUAUUUUGAGGCUACCAUUACAAACAGUUUAACUCCUCUGGAGAAUCAGGGAUGAAUGGAGCAAAAAGUCAGAGAAACCCUGGGGGUAAUAGUGGAAUCUCCCAAAAGCUCCCCUCCCCCUCCCCCACCCCUGCUUUUGGGACCUCAGAUUAUUUUUCCCACACGAUCAAAGGGUCAGUGUCUUAACUUUGCCUUUAAACAGCCUUAAAGGGCAUGGUAAUUUUUAAAAGGAGGAAAAAAGCAAUCUAAAAUAUUUUCAGCUGUGACCAUUAACCACCAAUAAACACCGUCUAACUCUGAGUCAUCCCUCUGUGUCACCAUUUCCACUCUGUGUCAUCAGCAUUGUGCACACUCCCACGUGAGACGUUUAUACCACCAUGAGCUCACACGUGGAGGAGAUGGUGCGGAGCUCUAAAGAGUGGAAUUGUAUGUUGAUGCAGAUAAAGCUUGAAAGGAGGAAAGUGAGCAUUUAAUUAGGGGGGUUGCUUGUGUAGUUUUGUCUUCGCUCUCUGAGGGUGUACCCCACUGAAAUAAAACACAGAGUUACUACAGUCCCUGCCCUUCCUCAUACUCCUGAUUUGAGGAGAAGGGCUCAGUCUGGGCACCCACACGUGCUUUUGAAUGAGCCCCUUGAUUUCAUCUACUGAUCCCUAACUUAUGCCCAUUUCCUCUGGAGAUUGCCACCCUGAGCAUGUCAUAAAUUCCUUCCUGCGUAUGCACUGUUUUGAUCAAAACUGACAUCAUUUCAGUGUAGACUGAGAGCAAGGCAGCUGUCAGGUUCUGUCUCAGACCUUCUGCUUUUUUUUUUCUUUUUUUCUUUUUUUUUUUUUAUUGUGACCCUAAUAAGGCUCUCCUGCUGGGUGCCAGCCACCUGCAAGAAGGUCAGUUCUGGGGGUGAAAUUUAUAAACAGCAGAGAUCAUAACCUCAAAUGAAAUGCAGAGGUUAGAAACCUUUCUCCAAAUGAGGGAAACAUUUAGCAGGGGACAAGGAGGAAGCAGAGUUGGAGGGAGAUCCCACCCGCUGCAAAGAGAUCUAAGAAUUAAAAGUGAUUU